Molecule: non-coding RNA, 352 nt
Organism: Clostridiales bacterium 41_21_two_genomes
Lineage: Bacteria; Bacillati; Bacillota; Clostridia; Eubacteriales
Source: Rfam
GGGGAUGAAAGGAUUUCGACAGGGUCGGUAAGUCUUGAUCAGCGAGUAGCGGAGUUGCACCGCUAUAAAAGUAACAACUUAAAAUUAACUGACAAUAAUCGUACAGUUCUUAAGGCUGCCUAAGCGCGCCUUCGUUCUCUUUAGGUAGUGCCACGGACCUUUUGAGAGCGUCGACUUAGUGGCGAACAUGAACGAAAGAGUGUCUCGGCUUUCGUCAGGUAUCAGAGAAUACUUUAGCGCAUAGGCUGACUGCCGCCGCUGCGUGAGGGGAUAACUCAAAAGACAGCCUACACUCGUAGAGCCCUCGAUAAGCCGAUUUUGGACGCGGUUUCGAUUACCGCCAUCUCCACCA